Myodes glareolus (Bank vole) is the source of this 1276-nucleotide long non-coding RNA. RefSeq lists it as uncharacterized. The record is from RefSeq and is a predicted model, not a curated record. NCBI's taxonomy places the organism in Eukaryota, Metazoa, Chordata, Mammalia, Rodentia, Cricetidae.
GAAGUUGAGUCAGUGAUAAGGGAGCUGACUCCUGCUGUCUCCCACACCCAUAUCUCUUCGUAUCUCUUCUCACCCUUGAACCUGCCAAGCUCUUCCUGCCUUAGAGCCUCUGCCCUGUGGUCCUAUCUUUCUCUCUGUCUCUCACUCAGAUGACUUCUCAUGUUUUGCCCUGCUCUUUUUAGGUGGUGAAUGUUGUCUGUCCCUACUAAGUGUUGCCGGCCCCUGCUACGCUCUAAGACCCGCUGACGCCUCCUCACACAGGUCUGGGAUGUGAAGGUUUAGAAGAUAAAGCUGAACUCAGUGCCUGGUGGAUCCUGAGUCUCAUAGAACUCCACACUGUUGCUUGUCACUCUGUCCCUGAUGGCCUGGUGCCCAGAGCUUGGCUUUGGUUAGGCUGGGACAGGAAGCUCUCAAUCCUGCUGACAACAACCCCACCUGAGACAUGGGAGGAAGCAGUUAGCUACUGGUCCCAUCACCACGCAUGCCCGUGGGGUGUACCUGCACACACAGGCUCACAGGAGGAUGUGACCCAUCCAAGGCCCAUCCAAGGCCACAAGGACUGUCAGCAUGGGAACCCAGCCAAGGCACAUCUCUGUGCUCACCACUGCUGGUAGGGCCAGGCUCCAGUCACCGCCAUUCGCUGAUGGGCUGACAUACAAUAAGCACUCAAUAAACGUAGCUACUAGAGUGUGUCUCAGACCUCAUCCUCAUACUUGGCACGUGAGCGCGCGUCAGGAAGCAUCCUGGGGUAUAGCAUGCUGUUGAACUUACGUCUGAUUUACAUCAGACCAUACGUCUGUGAGUCCAGAAGAAGCUCCUGUUCACCUCCAGCAACGCACACCACUCCAUGGUGAUAUGGGAGAGUCCAAGUUGCAAUUUAAGCUUUAAGAGCUGUGCCUAAGAGAUCCAUGAAACAAAAUGCCUCUGAUCUGCAAGCCCCUUGGCCAAGGACAGAUCGUUCCUGAAAUGCUGGAGGCUGUUGUUUAUGGGGGAUAACAAGCCACAUUUUUUCAUUCCCCUAACCAAGUUUGUUUGACCCAUCUGCACUGAUGUGCUUGAUCAGAUGUGGGCGGGAGGUUGACAGGGUAGAGGUGCAUCAGGAUGUAUGCUUGCCCCUGAUUGGACCUGAUGGGAAAUGCAACGAAUUACGGGUUUUCCUUCUUAAGCCGUUACAAACUGAUUCUGGGCCAUUUUCCUGGAACCUGAGUGUGGACCUAGCCAGAGUCCAUCCACCUGGUCAGUAUUUAAUUAAAGGAGGCUUCAAUUUUGGCUUCAA